UACAGAGGUCUCAAGCGUUGUUCGGAUUCAUUGGGCGUAAAGGGUGCGUAGGCGGCGCGGUAAGUCGGGUGUGAAAUCUUGGAGCUUAACUCCGAAACUGCAUUCGAUACUGCCGUGCUUGAGGACUGGAGAGGAGACUGGAAUUUACGGUGUAGCGGUGAAAUGCGUAGAUAUCGUAAGGAAGACCAGUGGUGAAGGCGGGUCUCUGGACAGUUCCUGACGCUGAGGCACGAAGGCCAGGGGAGCAAACGGG
Molecule: ribosomal RNA, 253 nt
Filed under: uncultured bacterium
Lineage: Bacteria
Description: partial 16S ribosomal RNA
Rfam family: Bacterial small subunit ribosomal RNA
Source: RNAcentral